GACGAACGCUGGCGGCGUGCUUAACACAUGCAAGUCGAACGGAAAGGCCCUGCUUUUGUGGGGUGCUCGAGUGGCGAACGGGUGAGUAACACGUGAGUAACCUGCCCUUGACUUUGGGAUAACUUCAGGAAACUGGGGCUAAUACCGGAUAGGAGCUCCUGCUGCAUGGUGGGGGUUGGAAAGUUUCGGCGGUUGGGGAUGGACUCGCGGCUUAUCAGCUUGUUGGUGGGGUAGUGGCUUACCAAGGCUUUGACGGGUAGCCGGCCUGAGAGGGUGACCGGCCACAUUGGGACUGAGAUACGGCCCAGACUCCUACGGGAGGCAGCAGUGGGGAAUAUUGCACAAUGGGCGGAAGCAUGAUGCAGCAACGCCGCGUGCGGGAUGACGGCCUUCGGGUUGUAAACAGAUUUCGCCUGUGACGAAGCGUGAGUGACGGUAAUGGGUAAAGAAGCACCGGCUAACUACGUG
Molecule: ribosomal RNA, 468 nt
Filed under: uncultured bacterium
Lineage: Bacteria
Description: partial 16S ribosomal RNA
Rfam family: Bacterial small subunit ribosomal RNA
Source: RNAcentral